CGGGGGGGGGGGCAAGCGUUGUUCGGAAUUACUGGGCGUAAAGGGCGCGUAGGCGGGCGGGAAAGUCUCUCGUGAAAUCCCACGGGCUCAACCGUGGAAUUGCGGGAGAUACUACUCGUCUUGAGUUCGGGAGAGGAGUGUGGAAUUCCCAGUGUAGCGGUGAAAUGCGUAGAUAUUGGGAGGAACACCGGUGGCGAAGGCGGCACUCUGGACCGAUUACUGACGCUGAGGCGCGAAAGCUAGGGGAGCAAACGGGAUUAGAUACCCCGGUAGUCCUAGCUGUAAACGCUGAGCACUUGGUGUAGCGGGUAUCGACCCCUGCUGUGCCGAAGCUAACGCAUUAAGUGCUCCGCCUGGGGAGUACGGUCGCAAAGGCUG
This 378-nucleotide ribosomal RNA is filed under the name uncultured organism. RNAcentral's name for it is "partial 16S ribosomal RNA". It matches the Rfam family "Bacterial small subunit ribosomal RNA", at positions 523 to 896 of the family's 1533-position model. The record is from RNAcentral.